This 500-nucleotide ribosomal RNA is filed under the name uncultured bacterium. Its description in RNAcentral is "partial 16S ribosomal RNA". It matches the Rfam family "Bacterial small subunit ribosomal RNA", at positions 30 to 523 of the family's 1533-position model. The record is from RNAcentral.
AUUGAACGCUGGCGGCAUGCUUUACACAUGCAAGUCGAACGGUAACAGGGUGCUUGCACCGCUGACGAGUGGCGAACGGGUGGGUAAUGCGUCGGAACGUGCCGAGUAGUGGGGGAUAACGCAGCGAAAGUUGUGCUAAUACCGCAUACGUACUGAGGUAGAAAGUGGGGGACCUUCGGGCCUCACGCUAUUCGAGCGGCCGACGUCUGAUUAGCUAGUAGGUGAGGUAAAGGCUCACCUAGGCGACGAUCAGUAGCGGGUCUGAGAGGAUGAUCCGCCACACUGGGACUGAGACACGGCCCAGACCCCUACGGGAGGCAGCAGUGGGGAAUUUUGGACAAUGGGCGAAAGCCUGAUCCAGCCAUGCCGCGUGUCUGAAGAAGGCCUUCGGGUUGUAAAGGACUUUUGUCAGGGAGGAAAUCCCUAGUGCUAAUAACACUGGGGGAUGACAGUACCUGAAGAAUAAGCACCGGCUAACUACGUGCCAGCAGCCGCAGUAA